Molecule: long non-coding RNA, 603 nt
Organism: Bactrocera neohumeralis
Lineage: Eukaryota; Metazoa; Arthropoda; Insecta; Diptera; Tephritidae
Exons: 3
Source: RefSeq, a predicted model, not a curated record
CGGAGGUAACAGAUUGCACAAACACAUUGAAACAUUUUCAGCUGUUCACUAACACUGUUACAUUUUCUGGAAUUUUCAAUUGAAUGGGAGAAUACGUAAGUAAGAUAGAGAAAAACUAUCGACAUUCUAAACAUAUUGUAAUAUUAACUUGCUAGAAUAGGAGAGACGAAUGCCCAAUUUUUCAAGAAGAAGAAAACGAAAAGCGCAGUUUAUUUUGGAUUUUAAAGAGAGAAACUAAAAGGCUUAACUAGGAGAAAAAGAAAACAUUUGGAGGAUUCAAGUAUAUUGGGUACAACAAACAAAUAAGAGAGUAAGUUUUAAAUUAGUAAAGCUAAAUAGCGCAUAUUUAUUUCAAAUAGUUGCUAUAGAUUAUGCAUUUUUGUGAAAUAUGUAAUUUGUACUUUAUAUCUACAUAUAUAUGUAUGUAUAUACAUACAUACAUGUGUAAAUGUAAAAAAUUUAAAAUCUAAAUUGAAACGAGUUGUGCGGUUACAAUUAUAAUUGUGCCGACUUUAGAAUACCGUCCCACGAUUUCGGGAAUAAAAUGGGUAUUGUCGGAUUGAGGAGGUUUUUCAGAAUUAGUGAAGUGCUAGUGAACAUAAA